GUCUAUGGCCAUGCCACCCUGAACGUGACUGAUCUCGUCUGAUCUCGGAAGCUAAGCAGGGUCGGGCCUGGUUAGUAGGAUGGGAGAUGACCUAGGAAUACCGGGUGCUGUAGGCG
Molecule: ribosomal RNA, 116 nt
Filed under: Pteropus alecto (black flying fox)
Lineage: Eukaryota; Metazoa; Chordata; Mammalia; Chiroptera; Pteropodidae
Source: RNAcentral